RNAcentral lists this ribosomal RNA (611 nucleotides) under Gordonia sputi. Its description in RNAcentral is "bacterial SSU rRNA". It matches the Rfam family "Bacterial small subunit ribosomal RNA", at positions 46 to 669 of the family's 1533-position model. The record is from RNAcentral. Lineage: Bacteria; Bacillati; Actinomycetota; Actinomycetes; Mycobacteriales; Gordoniaceae.
GCUUAACACAUGCAAGUCGAACGGAAAGGCCCAGCUUGCUGGGUACUCGAGUGGCGAACGGGUGAGUAACACGUGGGUGAUCUGCCCCUGACUUUGGGAUAAGCCUGGGAAACUGGGUCUAAUACCGGAUAUUCAUUUUUCCUCGCAUGGGGAUUUGUGGAAAGCUUUUGCGGUUGGGGAUGGGCCCGCGGCCUAUCAGCUUGUUGGUGGGGUAAUGGCCUACCAAGGCGACGACGGGUAGCCGACCUGAGAGGGUGAUCGGCCACACUGGGACUGAGACACGGCCCAGACUCCUACGGGAGGCAGCAGUGGGGAAUAUUGCACAAUGGGCGCAAGCCUGAUGCAGCGACGCCGCGUGAGGGAUGACGGCCUUCGGGUUGUAAACCUCUUUCAGCUCCGACGAAGCGCAAGUGACGGUAGGAGCAGAAGAAGCACCGGCCAACUACGUGCCAGCAGCCGCGGUAAUACGUAGGGUGCAAGCGUUGUCCGGAAUUACUGGGCGUAAAGAGCUCGUAGGCGGUUUGUCGCGUCGUCUGUGAAAUUCUGCAGCUUAACUGCAGGCGUGCAGGCGAUACGGGCAGACUUGAGUACUACAGGGGAGACUGGAAUUC